This 334-nucleotide ribosomal RNA is filed under the name uncultured eukaryote. Its description in RNAcentral is "partial 18S ribosomal RNA". It matches the Rfam family "Eukaryotic small subunit ribosomal RNA", at positions 1470 to 1796 of the family's 1831-position model. The record is from RNAcentral.
CCCUUAGAUGUCCGGGGCCGCACGCGCGCUACACUGAAGGAAUCAGUGUGGCUUUCUCCCUGACCCGAAAGGGUUGGGAAACCCGUUGAAUCUCCUUCGUGAUAGGGAUUGGGGCUUGAAAUUGUUCCCCAUGAACGAGGAAUUCCCAGUAAGCGCGAGUCAUAAGCUCGCGUUGAUUACGUCCCUGCCCUUUGUACACACCGCCCGUCGCUACUACCGAUUGAACGGUUUAGUGAGGGCCUCGGAUUGGUCUCGGCCCGCUCUUUACCGGGCGGCGCCGUUGGUCGAGAAGACGCCCGAACUUGAUCGUUUAGAGGAAGUAAAAGUCGUAACA